GUUAUAUACAAAUCCCACAACUUUGUGUUUUCCAGCUUCGAGCAAUGCUUAUGAAAUGGACAAAGGCACUUCACAGAAUUUUCUGGGUUAUAUUGCAGCAAAGACACUUUUACCGUCAAUAGGGAUGAGAAUAGCACUUGAAUAUUCACAUGCACGGAGUUCAAGACAAUUGUGAAGACAAUCAGAGAGAAGAUGCCUUCUGCCCAACGAGGAGAGUACAGGGACCCAUUCCUCUGCUGUGUUCCUCACUUUGGACAUCAUCUUGUGUUGCCUGCUGAACAACCAGAAACCAGAGUCACUAAUCCCCCUCAUUGCUAGAGUCCAGAUGCUGGCUCAUAGGCUGUCCACAGG
Molecule: long non-coding RNA, 351 nt
Filed under: Phasianus colchicus (ring-necked pheasant)
Lineage: Eukaryota; Metazoa; Chordata; Aves; Galliformes; Phasianidae
Description: lncRNA (ENSPCLG00000016609.1)
Source: RNAcentral